This 253-nucleotide ribosomal RNA is filed under the name uncultured bacterium. RNAcentral describes it as "partial 16S ribosomal RNA". It matches the Rfam family "Bacterial small subunit ribosomal RNA", at positions 524 to 776 of the family's 1533-position model. The record is from RNAcentral.
UACAGAGACUGCAAGCGUUAUUCGGAUUCACUGGGCGUAAAGGGUGCGCAGGCGGCCGUGUGUGUCAGGUGUGAAAGCCCGGGGCUUAACCCCGGAAUUGCGCCUGAAACUACAUGGCUAGAGCAUUGGAGAGGGUAGCGGAAUUCACGGUGUAGCAGUGAAAUGCGCAGAUAUCGUGAGGAACACCGGUGGCGAAGGCAGCUCACUGGGACGGUACUGACGCUGAGACGCGAAAGCGUGGGGAGCAAACAGG